AGGGAACUCCUUAUGUUUUUUCUGUCCUUAGAGAUCCUCUGUGGCUGGAGAAUGGAAAAAAGGAAGUAAGGUAUAGCAUCAAUAACAAUGAGUUUGUCCCAGGAAGCCAUGGGAUACCAACCUAGCAGUGGAAUUGCUGGUUCAAUGGUUCAAAGUAAAGGAUUACAUUGUGGUUGUGAAUUUGGAAACUGAUAAAAUGUUGGUGCCUAUAGAAGAAAUGAAGAAGUUUGGAAGACAGUUUUCUGCUUUCCUUCUAAUCUUGGCUGCAUUGGAAGUACGUGGUGGCUCCUGGAGCUGGAGUCCUCUGGGACUCCAGGCAUGUGGUGGGAAUUCCUGGUGUUGGUGUUCACCCCU
Molecule: long non-coding RNA, 354 nt
Filed under: Sarcophilus harrisii (Tasmanian devil)
Lineage: Eukaryota; Metazoa; Chordata; Mammalia; Dasyuromorphia; Dasyuridae
Description: lncRNA (ENSSHAG00000024153.1)
Source: RNAcentral